This 192-nucleotide microRNA precursor is filed under the name Oryza glumipatula. Its description in RNAcentral is "MIR812 microRNA precursor family". It matches the Rfam family "MIR812 microRNA precursor family". Lineage: Eukaryota; Viridiplantae; Streptophyta; Magnoliopsida; Poales; Poaceae. The record is from Rfam by way of RNAcentral.
AAUAGAUGACACCGUUGACUUUUUCUCACAUGUUUGAUCAUUCGUCUUAUUCAAAAAAUUUACGUAAUUAUAAUUUAUUUUGUUAUGACUCAUAGUACUUUAAGUGUGAUUUAUAUCUUAUACAUUUGCAUAAAAUUUUUGAAUAAGACGAAUGGUCAAACAUGUGAGAAAAAGUCAACGGCGUCAUCUAUU